This 207-nucleotide ribosomal RNA is filed under the name uncultured bacterium. RNAcentral describes it as "partial 16S ribosomal RNA". It matches the Rfam family "Bacterial small subunit ribosomal RNA", at positions 568 to 774 of the family's 1533-position model. The record is from RNAcentral.
CGUGUAGGCGGCUAGGUAAGUCUGAUGUGAAAGCCCGGGGCUUAACCCCGGAAGUGCAUUGGAUACUGCUUAGCUAGAGGGCGAGAGAGGGAAGCGGAAUUCCUGGUGUAGGGGUGAAAUCCGUAGAUAUCAGGAGGAACAUCAGUGGCGAAGGCGGCUUCCUGGCUCGUUUCUGACGCUGAGACGCGAAAGCGUGGGGAGCAAACA